UCUUCUGACUUGUACUUCUCCGCUUCCUGCACCAUCUUCUCAAUCUCCUCCUUGCUGAGCCUACCCUUGUCGUUGGUGAUGGUGAUCUUGUUCUUCUGUCCAGUGGUCUUGUCCUCAGCAGAGACAUUCAAGAUACCAUUGGCGUCAAUGUCGAAGCAAACCGUGAUCUGAGGAACCCCCCUAGGCGCAGGUGGAAUCCCAGAGAGCUCAAAUUUUCCAAGCAGAUUGUUGUCUCUGGUCCGGGUCCUCUCUCCCUCAUAAACCUGGAUCAAGACACCCGGUUGGUUGUCUGAAUAGGUAGAGAACACCUGUUCCUUCUUCGUGGGAAUGGUAGUGUUCCUGGGAAUUAAGACGGUCAUAACUCCUCCAGC
RNAcentral lists this long non-coding RNA (371 nucleotides) under Musa acuminata (dwarf banana). RNAcentral describes it as "long non-coding RNA (MACU_LNC003938)". Lineage: Eukaryota; Viridiplantae; Streptophyta; Magnoliopsida; Zingiberales; Musaceae. The record is from RNAcentral.